This 429-nucleotide ribosomal RNA is filed under the name Anaplasma marginale. RNAcentral describes it as "bacterial SSU rRNA". It matches the Rfam family "Bacterial small subunit ribosomal RNA", at positions 29 to 486 of the family's 1533-position model. The record is from RNAcentral. Lineage: Bacteria; Pseudomonadati; Pseudomonadota; Alphaproteobacteria; Rickettsiales; Anaplasmataceae.
ACGAACGCUGGCGGCAAGCUUAACACAUGCAAGUCGAACGGACCGUAUACGCAGCUUGCUGCGUGUAUGGUUAGUGGCAGACGGGUGAGUAAUGCAUAGGAAUCUACCUAGUAGUAUGGGAUAGCCACUAGAAAUGGUGGGUAAUACUGUAUAAUCCCUGCGGGGGAAAGAUUUAUCGCUAUUAGAUGAGCCUAUGUCAGAUUAGCUAGUUGGUGGGGUAAUGGCCUACCAAGGCGGUGAUCUGUAGCUGGUCUGAGAGGAUGAUCAGCCACACUGGAACUGAGACACGGUCCAGACUCCUACGGGAGGCAGCAGUGGGGAAUAUUGGACAAUGGGCGCAAGCCUGAUCCAGCUAUGCCGCGUGAGUGAGGAAGGCCUUAGGGUUGUAAAACUCUUUCAGUAGGGAAGAUAAUGACGGUACCUACAGAA